This is a long non-coding RNA of Apis cerana (Asiatic honeybee), 4516 nucleotides long. RefSeq lists it as uncharacterized. NCBI's taxonomy places the organism in Eukaryota, Metazoa, Arthropoda, Insecta, Hymenoptera, Apidae. The record is from RefSeq and is a predicted model, not a curated record.
UAGGAUGACUCUUAGGAGAGUAAAACACAUUAUAUCAAACCGGAGCAAAAUACGUCCAAUGUGCGCGAAUGAAACAUUAAUUUGCCAUACGAAGGAUUAUGGCUACGCUUUAUCUUCCAGUUAAUCCUGAUUUAGAGAUUCUGCUACGUACGCCACCUAACCUAUUCGUCGGGAAUUAAGAUGCUGGAAAUACGAGUUGUUUUGCCGUUUUGAUAUAGCUUACGUCAAACUUGAAGAUUAAUUUUUGACAUUUCUUUUUUGUGUUUCCUAUCCACUUAGUGAUUAAUGAUGAAAAAAACAAGUAAAAUAGACAUUAUGUAUUACAUUAAAUAUAAUAAAGCUUCGAAUAUGAAAAAUUUCUAUUUAAAAUUGAUAUGAUUUGAUGAGCAAUAUAACUACACAUAUUAUAUAUUAUUAAAAAUAUAAACAAAUAAGUAUAGAAUAAUAAGAAUAUCAAAAUGUUUUAAAAGUAAUGAAAAAUAGGUUAUACGUAAGAUAUGAAAAGAAUUUUAAUAUUUAUAAAUAUAAUUUUCUUCAUUAAGAUUGAAGUUAAUGUAUAAAAUGUAUUUCUAAAAUAGAUUUUAAAUCUGAUUUGUAAUUAUUGUUCUUUUUUCUUAAAGUCACAAAUUUUCAAAUUACAACUAGAUUUAAAAUUAAAUUUACACUUCUCAGUUAUUUAUAAAUAACAAACACCUUUAAUUUAUUUCAUUUCACUUCAAAUCCAAUUUCUCAAUUUUAUUAUUUUUCUCUUCUGUAGCAAGCUGAUACAAAUUUAUAGGAGCUUUUGUUAUAGCUUCCUGAGUCAUAGAUGCAUUUCGUACGGCGGGAAUGUUGACACAAACUGAUAGAAAGGAUGUUUGCUAGACUCGUGAAGGGUUAACCAAGUUGAUAAGGGUAAAGUAAUUGAUACUGACGCUAAAACGUCUGACCGUGAAGUAAGUACAAACGGAACAUCCGGCGGAAUUAUAGGAUUAUAUUAAUACGCUCGUUUCGCAGAACCAUGGUUGCUAUUUGCAGUUACCACGCGCUUCUUCGAUACCCUGCGUGUAAAUUCAUUCAUUAGGGAUUUGCAGAUCUUCGAAGACUAUUAAAGGGUGGCCAAUCUAAAUUGGCUAAACUAUAAAAUGAAUUUUAAUUAAAUUGUUAAUACAAUUAGUAAUCCAAGAAUUCAGAAGGGUGUCACUAUGUCUAACAAGUGUAAAUGACGGCUGAAUACGACCGUGUGCACGCGAACAAAAGAGUGAAUUCUUAAGGGUGAACAAAGCAUUUAAAGAAACUUCAACUCCAUAACCAAAAUUACUUUUAAAGGAAUAUGUGAUAUCAAAGAAUCUCCCAUCAUGAGAAUCUAUACAUCCAGAAUGGAAAAAAAAUUACCUGAUAUUCGCGAAUCCUAUUCGAGAGUGCUGUACAUUGAUCAUGUGCCAUCUGACGCGUUCGCCAGUAUAAAAUUGCGUGUGAGAUAAACGUCUCAUUCUUCCACGAUCCACGAUACUUAAAACGUUUAAAAUAUUUGAACUUUAUUCCAUACAAUGGGAUAGUAGAAAACACUAUACAAGUAAACGAUUCCAUGAUCGCCGCUACGCGGCGAAUUAUCGUUUACAUCCUUUCCCCGAGACGUAAAUCCUAAUAUCGAAUCGAGGCAGGUUGUUUGCCAUUUUCUCUUCUUGUUUAACUUUUUUACUAAUUUUAUUCUUUUUAUCGAUAAGUGUUUAGAUUUGAAACGAGGUUGAAAUGAUAUUUUCUUGUAGAAGAAUAUAAUUUUUUUAAAAAAUGUCCACAAAAUAUUGCAUUAUGCUUUUAAUUCGUAAUUUAUUUUUUGAUAAUAUUUAUAUCAAAAAUAUAUAUUUAUAUGUAAUUAAUAUUUGAAAAAUGAAAAUAAAAAAACAAGAAUUAUCAGCAGAAACAAAUAAGAAAAUUUUAAAAUUAAUAAAAACAAGUUAAACUUUUAAUGAAAAGAUUCUGAGAAUAUUGUUAUUCCUAUUUUUAAUAAUUAAACAUAAUUUCUCUCAUAUCAUGCAUAUAAUUAUUUCUUUAGAUAAAUAAAUUUUCAAAUUAUUCAUUGUUCAGAUCAUUCAAAUGUUCGAUUUUGUUUUGCUCAUGCACUCAAAUCUACGUAUCCAUAAACACUUAUUUUCCUAUUUAUCGAAAUAACAUAAUUUCAAUUAAUUGCAUCAAUCCUUCUCCAAAAAUUAAAAUUCAAAAGAUAUAGGAAUCAUCCUUGGCCACGUUUCAACAACAAUUCAAAUUCUUCCUCCACUGCAAUAUUUUCUCGUAUACUCGAAAUUCGUUCAUUGAGAAAUUCAACAGACGAAAUCUCCGAAACAUCCUCGUCCACCGUAUAUCAUUCAUGAACACCUCCUUCAUCCUUGAACGCGAAAACCAUAAGCACGAUUAAAGCAAAAAUGGCAAACAACACGAAGGAUGUUCGAAUUAUUUCGUUAGCACGAGGCACGAGGAUCAGGCGAACGGGUGAGCGUCGUGCGAAACACUAGCUAAGGACACUGUAUAGCGGGGUGCCUGAGUAUGGGGGCGCGCCCCUUCGCGCACAGGGCCCCCUCAAGCGGCGUGCAUCAGACUACAUUCGAUACGUUGUCCACGAGGGGUUCCCCCGUCGACCCAUCGUGGCCCUAUGACUAAUAAGAAGCCUGGCAGACACUGUCACACGAAUCCACGUAUCCCGUGUUAAACGAUGCAAAACUUUGUGGCUUCGGGAGGUUGAUCGAGGACGUGUAAGGGUGAAUCGAUAAAUAAGUUAGUAGACCCUAUUCUAAUUUUUGUAACAGCAUAUCAUCUUGUUCUUUUUGGUAAUUAUUUAGAGAAGUUUUCUGCGAUUUGUUUUCUUGAUUUUAAAAUAUAUCAAAAAUAUAUUAUCAAGAUCAAUAUUUUGAAUAAUUUUUUUUCUACAGAUAUAUAAAAUCGGUCGCAAAGAAUUCGUAUCUUACGAAGAGAUUCAUCUUAAAUUUUGAUUUUUCAGAAAUUCCAAUUUAAAUAUUUUCAUAAAUUUUCACAAUUUUUCAUUACAUGUAAUUCAUUAAAAAUAAAGAAAUUAAAAUCUUUUUUAUUUUUAAUGAAGCUCCGUUCCAUAUGUUAUCUUAUCAAUAUUUAUCAAUGAUAUAGUUAUAAUUCUCGAACAUGUAUCAAUUAUAUUAUUUUUAUUUUUUAAGAAUAAACUAAAACUGAAAAUAGAAAAAAAAAAAAUAAAAAAAUAUUCUCAACUCGACGAAUAUCGUAUCAAAAUAUUUUUUUUUCUUCAACCCCUAAUAUUCCCCGAUCGUUUUUCAUCGAUGCGGAAUCUCAGUCUAUAACCUUCAUCCACGGCACUCACCCCUAUCGUUUCAGAGACAAUCUCUCUCGUCUGAAUCGAACCGCGAGCAUCUAUCGUUCGAUGUCGUUUUCUCCUGAGUGUCGUUACCUAAACCGAAUACGCAACGCGAAUUUCGAUUACCGUUUUGCAUAUACCGGAUCGCGACACAUGGGACACUUUCUUCUUCAGGAGAAAAUUUGAUGUACGCGUUCCAGCCCCUUGUUCGGUGGUUUCGGGUGAAGAUGAUGUACAUCUCGCAUCUGGCGUGCAUUUUUGAUAAAAAUGUGAUCGUACCUUAUAUACAGAAUGUUAAUACACACGUGAAAUAUAUUAUCUUUUGAAGGGUCGAUUCUAGGGACCAAAAAGAAAAAUUUUCUAUGUAUAAUAAAUAAGUUUUGUCCAUUUAUUAUAUCAUUUAUUUAUGUUAUGUUAUUUUUUAUGUAUUAACUUUUGUUUUUGUUCUAGCUUCAAGAAUCUUAGAAAAAUAUUUCACGAAUAUAUUAAUAUAUAUAUAUUGGGAAGAAACUUAUUUAAUAAUACAAUUAAAGUAUAAUUGAUUAAUUAGAUCAAAGUAUUAGAAAAAUUAAUUUUUUUUAUUUAUUAAAUAUAUUUAAUAUAUAUAUUUUUUCGUUUUCAUUAUUAAUAAUGAAUUUAUGCUAAAAUUUCAAUGUAAUAAUUUUAUUAGGUUUUUUAUCUUUUUUUUUUUCAUUUGAAAAAUUAAAAAAGAGAUCGAGAAAGGCGAGAAAUUCUUGAUUAAGCAAAUGCUUAGAUAAAUCAAUAACCGACUUUUUUUUCGAGAUCUGAACCCACAAAAAUUGCCCCCGUAAUUCUGCCCACCAAUGUCGAAAAGCGAUGUUAUCGAGGAGAACUGACGAGCGUUUUACCGGUGGUGAUCAGAUAACACUUGCAAACAAUGAGAGAAAAAAAAUCGUGCUAAAUCAGCAAUUUCCUGCUUUCAUUCGUGUUAAAAGCUUUCAUUAUAUUUUAUGCAUUUUAUGCAAAGCUUGUAUAAUUAAUAAUAAUUUCAAUUAGACAUAAAAAAAUGAUUAAUUAAAUAUAAUUUUACAAUAAUUUAAUUUUGCAAAACAAAAAAAUAAUGAAUGUUAUAUUUUUCUUUUGACCUUAUACAAAAUUUAUUAAAUGAUCAAUAUUAUAUAUAACAAAUAUUACGAAAUAUGAAUUAUUGUUUAUAAAUAAAAAUAAUCUAAAUUA